UGCCAAAAUCAAGGUUACUCUUUUGUUACUUCUGUUCACCGCUUCUUUGUUUACAUCCUCCUAGGUUACAUAAGCUUUCCUGAUCGUAGCAAUGCAUGGGGAACUCCUCUCUUAGUAAAAUGCUUUGCGUGCUUUACCAGCACUGAAAAGAAAAAUAGUUAUAAUUGUGGAAGGUGGUUUUAAUGGUGGCCAUCAAAAAUAUCUUGGAUGUAGAAGCCAUUGCAGACUUUGCUGAUGGUUGUCUAACUGUCCAUUGUGUGUAUAUAUAUAUAUGUAUAUACACAAACACAUGGAAAAAAGAAUCACAACAGUUAAGCUAUGCCAGCUGAGAUAUUUCACACUGGACAGCUGUAAAUGCGAGAACUAGAAAAGCAUUUGAUUGCAGCUUUUGCCUACCUGAGGAAAAAGAAUUUGAAAAGCUCUUAAGAGCCCAACAGUGAAACUUCUGAAGAAUGAUUAUCUUCCCUCUCCUUUUGGGCCAAGCUGAGAGAAGAAAAGCAAGUAGGAUGCGGAUGUUUUUGUUUGUACAUGACCGCUGGAUGUAUCCAGUCUCUGAUGAAAUUCUUCUAGAGGAAAAAAAAAAAGAGAGAGAGAGAAAUAAAAGGAGGCUUUUGCUCUGCAGUUAGAUCUCUCAUUUGUGGGCAUCUGCCUACACACUUCUGCCUAUUUGAAGCAGAUCAACCCAUGUGAGCGCUACUGUGAUCAGAAUGGUGCACUUACAUACAGCCUUGCUGAUUUUGGUGAAGCAAAGGGUCUCCAAAGCUGUGCAGCAGUCACCAUGUCUUCUGUGGCAAGCUGUCCACUGAUAAAGCAAAAGAGAGGAAGAGUCCAGCUACUUCCCCUUAAAAUUACACUGAAAGUUACACAGUGCCACCAGCAUGCAGAAUCCCUUUCCAUGAUACUGUGCUCUGAGUAAGUCAAAAGAAUGACGUUUGACAGCUGUGACAUUCAUGGGCAACGCAUUUGAAAAAGAAGGCAUAAAUAUUCAGAGACAUAUUAGAAUGCUGUUCAAUCAGGUUUGACACCAAAGCAAGACCUGAUGCCACAGGGAUCAUCAGAAUCUAGUAAACAGAAAUAUCUAAGAAGAGCAGAUGCACAUUGUGUCUUCUAGGCAUCCUCUCAGUGGCAUGGUUGAAAUCCAGAUUCUGAUCACACAAGAUUCAGCCCAGAAGGGGAACUGCAUCCUGGGUUGCGUACCAGAAGGUCAAGGGAGGUGAUUCUGCUCCUCUACUCUGCUUUCAUGAGACUCCACCUGGACUACUGCGUCAAGUUCUGGAGCCUCCAAUGUAAGAAGGACAUUGAGCUGUUGGAGCAGGUCCAGAGGAGGGAUACAAAUAUGAUCAGAAGGCUGGAGCACCUCCCCUGCAAGAACAGGCUGAGAGAGCUGGGGGUCUUCAGCCUGGAGAAGAGAAGGCUCCAUGCAGACCUUUUAGCAGCCUUCCAGUACCUGAAAGGGGCUUACAGGAAAGCUGGGGAGGAACUGUUUAUAAGAACAGGUAGCAACAGAAAAAGAGGAAAUGGUUUGAAACUGGAAGAGGUUAGAUUUAUAAAUAGAUAUCAGGAAGAAAUUAUUUACUGUGAGGAUGGUGAGACACUGGAACAAGUUGCCCAGGAGGUUGUGAAUGCCCCCUCCCUGGAAGCAUUCAAGGCCAGGCUGGAUGGGGCUUUGAGCAACCUGGUCUAGUGGGAGGUAUCCAUGCCUAUAGCAGGUGGGUUGGAACUAGAUGAUCUUAAAGGUCCCUUCCAACCCAAACCAUUCUAUGAUUCCAUGAUUCUAACAAAGAAAGGAAUAUAUUUUCUUUCAUCAUCCUUCUUGCUCUUUUUUUCUCUUUUGAACUAGAUUCCCAAUGUAGGCCAGAGGAAACUUUAUUUAUAUCCCUGCAAUUCAAGGCCCACAAACCAAUUCAUCAUGUUCCUGUUUUAUCUCAUCUGCUGUAAAG
RNAcentral lists this long non-coding RNA (1940 nucleotides) under Gallus gallus (chicken). Its description in RNAcentral is "lncRNA (ENSGALG00010007089.1)". Lineage: Eukaryota; Metazoa; Chordata; Aves; Galliformes; Phasianidae. The record is from RNAcentral.